This 256-nucleotide unclassified non-coding RNA is filed under the name Archaeorhizomyces sp. Its description in RNAcentral is "partial contains 5.8S ribosomal RNA, internal transcribed spacer 2, and large subunit ribosomal RNA". The stretch from base 1 to 69 matches the Rfam family "5.8S ribosomal RNA", at positions 84 to 154 of the family's 154-position model. The record is from RNAcentral. Lineage: Eukaryota; Fungi; Ascomycota; Archaeorhizomycetes; Archaeorhizomycetales; Archaeorhizomycetaceae.
GUGAAUCAUCGAAUCUUUGAACGCACAUUGCGCCUCCUGUAACUCGGAGGCAUGCCUGUCUGAGCGUCAUUUGAAACCAUAAAUCCCGAACGGGGUCUGCAUUGGGCAUCGCCUCCUGGCGUAGCCUCAAAGGCAUUGGUCUUAUGUGUGGACGAGCUCCUUUAGGACAGCCCGUGCCUGGACCUUAAAACAUCUAAGUCGACCUCAGAUCAGGUAGGGCUACCGCCUGAACUUAAGCAUAUCAAUAAGCGGAGGA